Molecule: ribosomal RNA, 428 nt
Filed under: uncultured prokaryote
Description: bacterial SSU rRNA
Rfam family: Bacterial small subunit ribosomal RNA
Source: RNAcentral
UGGGGAAUAUUGGGCAAUGGGCGAAAGCCUGACCCAGCGACGCCGCGUGGGCGAUGAAGGCCUUCGGGUUGUAAAGCCCUUUCGUGCGGAAAGAACAGUCUUACGGUUAAUACCCGUAGGAUUUGACGGUACCGCAGGAAGAAGCACCGGCUAACUCCGUGCCAGCAGCCGCGGUAAUACGGAGGGUGCGAGCGUUGUUCGGAAUUAUUGGGCGUAAAGGGCGCGUAGGCGGUAAUGAAAGUCAGAUGUGAAAUACUUCGGCUCAACUGAAUAACUGCAUCCGAAACUUCAGAACUAGAGUACAGAAGAGGGAAAGGGAAUUCCCGGUGGAGAGGUGAAAUUCGUAGAUAUCGGGAGGAACACCAGUGGCGAAGGCGGUUUCCUGGUCUGAUACUGACGCUGAGGCGCGAAAGUGUGGGGAGCAAACA